Molecule: non-coding RNA, 134 nt
Filed under: human gut metagenome
Description: Bacteroidete tryptophan peptide leader RNA
Rfam family: Bacteroidete tryptophan peptide leader RNA
Source: RNAcentral
AAUAAAUCAUAAAGCAAUGAAGGUGAUAAUGGUAAAUACAUAUUGGUGGUGGCACUCUUUACAACUCCGACAGUCGUAAGGGAGCAGCUCCUCAUGUAUAUAUACUAACCAAAAAUAUUAAAAAGAGGCCUGUC